This 297-nucleotide long non-coding RNA is filed under the name Coccomyxa subellipsoidea. Its description in RNAcentral is "long non-coding RNA (CSUB_LNC000518)". Lineage: Eukaryota; Viridiplantae; Chlorophyta; Trebouxiophyceae; Coccomyxaceae. The record is from RNAcentral.
UGUCGCCUGCCGCUCCGCUCUACCUCGUCGUUCUGUUCUGCCAGCACCGUGCUGAGGCCGCUGACUGCCUCAAUUGUUGCGUUCACGCUCCCUGACGCGAGCAUGGGAGAGAAGUCUGCACGGGCUUGCAUUGGUGACAGCAGCAGGGCACCAGCUGCCAGCACAUGCAACAUAGGACCGCCCAUCUGUGGCCUCAAUGUGCUGGAAGCAGUUCUGCAGGCUGUAAAGAGACCUGCUUCGUCUCCAGAACAGGAUGUGGUGGCCUCAGCUGCUGGCUGUUUGGAGCCAACACUCCUU